Molecule: ribosomal RNA, 1079 nt
Filed under: Echinolaelaps echidninus
Lineage: Eukaryota; Metazoa; Arthropoda; Arachnida; Mesostigmata; Laelapidae
Description: 16S ribosomal RNA
Rfam family: Archaeal large subunit ribosomal RNA (bases 743-1033)
Source: RNAcentral
UAUAAUUUUAUAAUUUUUAUAUUAUUAAAUUUUUAAAAAUAAAAUUAAUCAAUUUUUUAAAAAGUACUGUAAAGGAAAAUUUAUUUUAUAAAAAAUAAGUAUAUUUUUACCUUUUGUAUUAGGGUUUAUCUAUAAAAUUAAAAAAAAUUAAUUUCCCGAAAAAAGUUAAUCUAUUUUUAUUUUAUUUUUUUUAUUGAAAAAAAAAAAUAAAAAUAAAAAUUUUAUUAAAUUUAAAUAAAAACUUUUAUAUCUGGUUAAAAAAAUAUUAUUUUAGAUAAAUUUAUAAUAAAUUUUAAUAUUUAUUUUUUAUUUAUAAAUUAAAUAAAAAAAGAUAAGUUUUUUUAUAAAAUAUAUUUAAUAAAAAAUUAUAAUUAAGAUUUGAUAUUUAUUAUUUUUUGUAACAAAAAAUUAAUUUGCUCUCAAAUAAUUUAAAUUAUUUAUUAAAAUAAUUCUUUUAAUAAAAUUAAUUUUAAAUAAUGAUAAUAUUAGUAUAAAAAUUUAUUUUAUAAAUAUAAACUCGGCAAUUUUAUUUUUUCAACUGUUUAACAAAAACAUUUUUUUUAGAUUUUAUUAAAAAUAAAUUCUGCUCAAUGCUUUAGUAAAUUGCUGAGGUAUUUUAACUUCACAAAGGUAUUGAAAUAAGACCUUAAUUGGGUGCUAAGAGAAUGGAUUAAUGAUUAAAUUCUUUAUUUUUAUAAAAAAUAUAAUUUAUAUUAAAAAUAAAAAUUAUUUUUAUAUUAAUAUAAGACAAGAAGACCCUAUGAAUCUUUAUUUUAAAAAAAAUUUAAUUGGGGCGAUUAAAAAAUAUAAAAAAACUUUAUUUUUAAAGUUUAUUAAAAAUUUAUAAAAAGAUACUCUAGGGAUAACAGCGUUAUUAUUUUGAAGAGUUCCUAUCGAUAAAAUAGUUUGCGACCUCGAUGUUGAAUUAAUGAACCUUAUAUAAGCAAAAAUAUAUAAAGGUAGAUUGCUCAUCUAUUAAAUCAUUACAUGAUUUGAGUUCAGACCGGUGUAAACCAGGUUGGUUUCUAUCUAUACAAUAAAUAUAAUUUUUUAGUACGAAAGGAAUAAAAAUUAUUUUU